CAGGAAAUAGUUUAAUAAAAAUAUUAAUUUUGGAGAUUAAUGAUAAAAAAGAUUUUUUUCCUGA
This 64-nucleotide transfer RNA is filed under the name Curculionoidea sp. 3 KM-2017. Its description in RNAcentral is "tRNA-Pro". The record is from RNAcentral. Lineage: Eukaryota; Metazoa; Arthropoda; Insecta; Coleoptera.